This 69-nucleotide small nuclear RNA is filed under the name Heterocephalus glaber (naked mole-rat). RNAcentral describes it as "U4 spliceosomal RNA". It matches the Rfam family "U4 spliceosomal RNA", at positions 1 to 69 of the family's 138-position model. From Rfam's summary of the family: U4 small nuclear RNA (U4 snRNA) is a component of the major U2-dependent spliceosome. The structure of U4 snRNA from yeast and human has been reported. U4 snRNA presents a k-turn RNA motif in the 5p-SL related to recognition of Snu13 protein. Lineage: Eukaryota; Metazoa; Chordata; Mammalia; Rodentia; Bathyergidae. The record is from Rfam by way of RNAcentral.
AGCUUUGCGCAGCAGCAGUAACAUAGCCAAUGAGGUUUAUCUGAGGUGUGAUUAUCGCUAAUCGAAAGA